This 1383-nucleotide long non-coding RNA is filed under the name Pongo abelii (Sumatran orangutan). RNAcentral describes it as "lncRNA (ENSPPYG00000030768.1)". Lineage: Eukaryota; Metazoa; Chordata; Mammalia; Primates; Hominidae. The record is from RNAcentral.
UAUCAAUCAAUCUUUUUCUUAAUAGCUGGUGCUUUUAGCAUGUUUUUUAAGCCACUUUGUUGAGGUGUGACUGGCAUGUAAAAAGCUGUACAUGCCUAACGUAGACCACUCAGUGAGUUUGUGGAUGAGUGUGUCCACGAAGACGUUAUCGUGAUCAGGCCAUGCACGUGUUCAUCGCCUCCCAAAGGCUCCUCCUGCCGUUUAUAUUGCGUGUGUAGAUGCUAAGAAAUGCUAACAUAAGCUCCACCCUCCCAGCGGGUUCUGAGCCCACAGAGCAGUGGACACACACAGCACACGUCACACACAGCACACGUCACACACAGCACACGUCACACACAGCACACGUCACACACAGCACACGUCAGUGCACACACAGCACACGUCACACACAGCACACAUCACACACAGCACACAUCACACACAGCACACGUCACACACAGCACACAUCACACACAGCACACAGCACACAUCAGCGCACACACAGCACACGUCAGCGCACACACAGCACACAUCAGUGCACACACAGCACACGUCAGCGCACACACAGCACACAUCACACACAGCACACGUCACACACAGCACACAUCAGCGCACACAGCACACAUCACACAGCACACAUCACACAGCACACGUCACACACAGCACACAGCGCACACACAGCACACAUCACACACAGCACACGUCACACACAGCACACAUCAGCGCACACAGCACACAUCACACAGCACACAUCACACAGCACACGUCACACACAGCACACGUCACACACAGCACACAUCACACACAGCACACAGCACACACACAGCACACAUCACACACAGCACACAGUGCACACACAGCACACAUCAGCGCACACACAGCACACGUCAGUGCACACACAGCACACGUCAGCGCACACAGCACACAUCACACAGAGCACACAUCAGUGCACACACAGCACACAUCAGCGCACACACAGCACACGUCAGUGCACACACAGCACACAUCACACAGCACACAUCACACACAGCACACAUCAGUGCACACACAGCACACGUCAGCGCACACACAUCACACACAGCACACAUCACACAGAGCACACAUCAGUGCACACACAGCACACAUCAGUGCACACAGCACACAUCACACACAGCACACAUCAGCGCUCACACAGCACACAUCAGCGCUGUGUGCCCUGUGCCCUGCAGGUCAGCGGAGCUUCCUCGUCCUGCACCACCAGGGCUUUGCACCCUGGGCCAGCACCUCUCACUCCCUCCCCCAGCCCCUGGCAGCCGCCACUCACUCUGCUUCUGUGAGCUGCACUCUGAGAUUCCUCACGUAUAUGGAAUCAUGCAGCCUCUGGCCUUCGGUGCCUGGCUUUUUUCACUUUGCGGGAUGUCCUCA